AGAACGAACGCUGGCGGCAGGCUUAACACAUGCAAGUCGAACGCUCGUAGCAAUACGGGAGUGGCAGACGGGUGAGUAACGCGUGGGAACAUACCCUCCGGUUCGGAAUAACUCAGGGAAACUUGAGCUAAUACCGGAUACGGCUGAGAGGCGAAAGAUUUAUCGCCGGAGGAUUGGCCCGCGUUCGAUUAGCUUGUUGGUGAGGUAACGGCUCACCAAGGCGACGAUCGAUAGCUGGUCUGAGAGGAUGAUCAGCCACAUUGGGACUGAGACACGGCCCAAACUCCUACGGGAGGCAGCAGUGGGGAAUAUUGGACAAUGGGCGCAAGCCUGAUCCAGCCAUGCCGCGUGAGUGAUGACGGCCUUAGGGUGUAAAGCUCUUUCGCUCGGGACGAUAAUGACGGUACCGAGAUAAGAAGCCCGGCUAACUUCGUGCCAGCAGCCGC
RNAcentral lists this ribosomal RNA (446 nucleotides) under uncultured bacterium. RNAcentral describes it as "SSU rRNA". It matches the Rfam family "Bacterial small subunit ribosomal RNA", at positions 26 to 518 of the family's 1533-position model. The record is from RNAcentral.